GAUGAAGAACGUAGCGAAAUGCGAUACGUAAUGUGAAUUGCAGAAUUCAGUGAAUCAUCGAAUCUUUGAACGCACAUUGCGCCUGCCAGCACUCUGGCAGGCAUGCCUGUUCGAGCGUCAUUUCAACCAUCAAGCCCUAGGCUUGCGUUGGAGCCCUGCGGCUGCCGCAGGCCCCUAAAAGCAGUGGCGGGCUCGCUAUCACACCGAGUGCAGUAGAUUACUCUUCGCUCAGGGCGUGUGGCGGGUUCCAGCCGUGAAACCCCCUACUUCUCAAGGUUGACCUCGGAUCAGGUAGUAAUACCCGCUGAACUUAAGCAUAUCAAUAAGCUGAGGA
This 334-nucleotide unclassified non-coding RNA is filed under the name soil metagenome. RNAcentral's name for it is "partial contains 5.8S ribosomal RNA, internal transcribed spacer 2, and large subunit ribosomal RNA". The stretch from base 1 to 120 matches the Rfam family "5.8S ribosomal RNA", at positions 35 to 154 of the family's 154-position model. The record is from RNAcentral.